This 468-nucleotide ribosomal RNA is filed under the name uncultured bacterium. Its description in RNAcentral is "partial 16S ribosomal RNA". It matches the Rfam family "Bacterial small subunit ribosomal RNA", at positions 28 to 507 of the family's 1533-position model. The record is from RNAcentral.
GAUGAACGCUGGCGGCGUGCUUAACACAUGCAAGUCGAACGGUGAAGGCGGAGCUUGCUCUGCUGGAUCAGUGGCGAACGGGUGAGUAACACGUGAGCAAUCUGCCCCUGACUCUGGGAUAAGCGCUGGAAACGGCGUCUAAUACUGGAUACGAGCUGCGAAGGCAUCUUCAGCAGCUGGAAAGAACUUCGGUCAGGGAUGAGCUCGCGGCCUAUCAGCUUGUUGGUGAGGUAACGGCUCACCAAGGCGUCGACGGGUAGCCGGCCUGAGAGGGUGACCGGCCACACUGGGACUGAGACACGGCCCAGACUCCUACGGGAGGCAGCAGUGGGGAAUAUUGCACAAUGGGCGAAAGCCUGAUGCAGCAACGCCGCGUAAGGGACGACGGCCUUCGGGUUGUAAACCUCUUUUAGCAGGGAAGAAGCGAAAGUGACGGUACCUGCAGAAAAAGCGCCGGCUAACUACGUG